CCUACGGGAGGCAGCAGUAGGGAAUUUUCGGCAAUGGGGGGAACCCUGACCGAGCAACGCCGCGUGAACGAAGACGUCAUUCGUAAUGUACAGUUCUUUUAACAGGGAAGAAAGAGAAAUUUGAUGGUAUCUGAUGAAUAAGCUCCGGCUAACUACGUGCCCGCAGCCGCGGUAAUACGUAGGGAGCGAGCGUUAUCGGGAAUUAUUGGUCGUAAAGGGUGCGUAGAGGGCAUAGUAAGUCUUUUGUAAAAAUGCUGGGCUCAACCGAGUAGGGCAAAAGAUACUGCAAAGCUAGUGUAUGGCAGAGGCAAGUGGAACUACAGGUGUAGCGGUGAAAUGCUUAAAUAUAAGUAAGAACACCAGUUGCGAAGGCGGCAUGC
This 380-nucleotide ribosomal RNA is filed under the name uncultured bacterium. RNAcentral describes it as "partial 16S ribosomal RNA". It matches the Rfam family "Bacterial small subunit ribosomal RNA", at positions 338 to 729 of the family's 1533-position model. The record is from RNAcentral.